Bos taurus (domestic cattle) is the source of this 564-nucleotide long non-coding RNA. Lineage: Eukaryota; Metazoa; Chordata; Mammalia; Artiodactyla; Bovidae. The record is from Ensembl.
CCCGCCUCCUCCAAUCAGCGGCCGGCCUGCCGGGCAGGGGUUAACCAGGGGACCCCGCGCAGGCGAAGGAGGCCGCCGCCUCGCCGGGCGGCUGAGGGCGGGCUGACGGGCGGCGCCGACGGACGCACCGCGACGCGAGGGGAGGUCUGACCCGGCUGGGCCGGAGUCCCGGAGACCCCGCAGCCGUCUUCGUAAAAUCGGCCCCCGCCCCGCGGGACCGGCCCCAGCAGAGCGGUUGGGCCGGCGCCCUGGGUCGCGGACCAACGCUGGAGGGGCCUCGCUGCCUGGGCCGGGCGCUUCCCGGAUCCGCCUCGCCGAACCCUGCGCCCGCCUAAUCCCUGAUCUCCACGAGUUUGGACCUGCUGAACGGGCGAAGGAUGGCAGUUUAGUUAUUGUUCGUUGUUCAGCCUUCCCAACCCUUGGGCACAUUCAAGCACUGUAGAAAAAAAUCCAUUCCGCCAAGAGUCACCUUGCUUCAAAUCCCAGCCAGGUUGGGCCUUGCACACACAUAUUUCGAUAGAUAACAGUGUUUGAAGGGGAGGGGGGGAGCAAGUUCCAGGCAGA